CAACCAGGGCAUGUGACCUGACUGGAAUUGAACUGUGACUUCCUGGUUCAUAGGUUAACCCUCAGCCACCGAGCCACGCUGGUAGGGCCAUUUCUUUUUUUAGCCUGUGGAAACCACUUCAGUCCCUCUUUAAUGCACAGAAUUGUUAUUUGCCUAACUACCUUUGUGAGCCAGAAGGCAAGUUGGGAACUCCGAAUGCAUAGACAUUCUGUACUUGUGAGAUUGAGGUGUCUGAAUGAGUUUGUUUCCGUUUCUUAAGCUCAGGCAUGGGGUGCAUCCAGUAAAGACCCCCGUCCCCUUAGCAGCACUGGGAUGCCCCUCAGGAGAGUCUGAGCAUCCCUCCACCUUGACAUCUAAGAUACCAGAGAGAGGUCUUAUCAGUUAGCAGACCACCAGUGUCUGCUGUGGCGACGAUUUCCCUCAAUAAUAGAUCCAGCCAGGCAGCUCCGCUCUCAGCCGCCGGAGGGACAGGCAGAAAACCUGAGGGAGAGGCGGUGCCAUCCUGGGCAUGCCUGCUGGUGGCAAGCUGCCUCUGUGUAAAUAGAAGUUUUUUCUGGAAUCGGUUAGAGGGAGUAGAAAACACCCACGCAGAAAAGAAACGUGUGUGUUUAGUUAGGAAAGGAGUUUGCUUGUGAGUCUGAUUGCAGGUUCCCAGGAAGCACGUGGCCAGCCUGCUUCUCUGCAUGUUUGUGCUGAGUCGUAUUGAACGGUAGGUACAGUGUGAAGUUUGCUGUAGAGGAGGGAGCGUUUCCAAAGUUGCCCGCUAAGACCAUAGCGAAUUCCCCCACAUCCUUUCUGUGCCAUGCAGUCUGUGCAGAGCCCAUGAAUUAAACUAGACUUCUUUAUCUGUGUGUCCUUGGUGGCAGC
Pipistrellus kuhlii (Kuhl's pipistrelle) is the source of this 867-nucleotide long non-coding RNA. RefSeq lists it as uncharacterized. The record is from RefSeq and is a predicted model, not a curated record. NCBI's taxonomy places the organism in Eukaryota, Metazoa, Chordata, Mammalia, Chiroptera, Vespertilionidae. The transcript is spliced from 2 exons.